Molecule: ribosomal RNA, 373 nt
Filed under: uncultured bacterium
Lineage: Bacteria
Description: bacterial SSU rRNA
Rfam family: Bacterial small subunit ribosomal RNA
Source: RNAcentral
GUAGGGGGCAAGCGUUGUCCGGAAUCAUUGGGCGUAAAGAGCGUGUAGGCGGUCCGGUAAGUCGGCUGUGAAAGUCCAGGGCUCAACUCUGGGAUGCCGGUCGAUACUGCCGGACUAGAGUUCGGAAGAGGCGAGUGGAAUUCCCGGUGUAGCGGUGAAAUGCGCAGAUAUCGGGAGGAACACCUAUGGCGAAGGCAGCUCGCUGGGACGUUACUGACGCUGAGACGCGAAAGCGUGGGGAGCAAACAGGAUUAGAUACCCUGGUAGUCCACGCCGUAAACGAUGGGCACUAGGUGUGGGAGGUGUCGACUCCUCCCGUGCCGGAGCUAACGCAUUAAGUGCCCCGCCUGGGGAGUACGGCCGCAAGGCUAAA